RNAcentral lists this non-coding RNA (29 nucleotides) under Rattus norvegicus (Norway rat). The record is from RNAcentral. Lineage: Eukaryota; Metazoa; Chordata; Mammalia; Rodentia; Muridae.
UCCCUGCCUUGUGAGAGCUGAGGAUUUCA